Molecule: ribosomal RNA, 252 nt
Filed under: uncultured prokaryote
Description: partial 16S rRNA
Rfam family: Archaeal small subunit ribosomal RNA
Source: RNAcentral
ACCGGCGGCUCGAGUGGUGGCCACUAUUACUGGGCUUAAAGCGUUCGUAGCUGGCUUGUUAAGUCUCUGGGGAAAUCUUCCGGCUCAAUCGGAAGGCGUCUCAGGGAUACUGGCAGGCUAGGGACCGGAAGAGGUGAGAGGUACUCCAGGGGUGGGAGUGACAAGCAGGAAUCCUAGAGGGAGCAACUGAGGCGGAGGCAUCACACCGGGUCAGCUCCGACUGUGAGGAACGAAAGCUAGGGGAGCAAACCU